This 253-nucleotide ribosomal RNA is filed under the name uncultured bacterium. Its description in RNAcentral is "partial 16S ribosomal RNA". It matches the Rfam family "Bacterial small subunit ribosomal RNA", at positions 524 to 776 of the family's 1533-position model. The record is from RNAcentral.
UACAGAGGGUGCAAGCGUUAAUCGGAAUUACUGGGCGUAAAGCGUGCGUAGACGGUUGCGUAAGUCAGAUGUGAAAGCCCCGGGCUCAACCUGGGAAUUGCAUUUGAGACUGCGUAGCUAGGGUGCGGAAGAGGGAAGCGGAAUUUCCGGUGUAGCGGUGAAAUGCGUAGAUAUCGGAAGGAAAACCAGUGGCGAAAGCGGCUUCCUGGUCCAGCACCGACGUUCAGGCACGAAAGCGUGGGGAGCAAACAGG